This is a long non-coding RNA of Jatropha curcas, 277 nucleotides long. RefSeq lists it as uncharacterized. NCBI's taxonomy places the organism in Eukaryota, Viridiplantae, Streptophyta, Magnoliopsida, Malpighiales, Euphorbiaceae. The record is from RefSeq and is a predicted model, not a curated record.
ACCUCAUAUUACCUACUUCAAACUGCUUUCUCUGAAUUGGAAUGGCGAGAGAAUUCUGAUGGAGACCUUCAGAUUGGGGAAAUUUUUUAAGUGACUUUUAAAAUGGGCGGCUUCAUAGUGGGGAUAGUGGGUUUUGAAAAUAUGGUCACCUAGCUACCUCGAAUCUUCAUUGGUAGAUUCAUGCAAGAAGAGGAAAAAAUGUACUUGUAAUCAAAUUUGUAUGGCGACAGAAUUAUUUGCUCAUUUCUUUGGAUAGAUUCACAUAGUUUUUUCUUUA